GACGGAGAGAUUUUCUCAUUGGCCAUUUCACUUUUUAAAAUAAAACAAUUUAAUAAAGCACAAAGUAUAUAAAAUUAACCUCAAACAAAAUGAGUAUAACAUAAUAAUAUAAUAAUAAUAACAACAACAACAAAAACAACGACAAUAAUAACAAUUAACAAGACUAUUGUAAUAAUAAAAUAAUAAUAACCAAAGUGUAACAACAUGAUUGAAACGUAAUGCAACAAAAAUAGCUAAAUAAUGCCAAGUCACCAUGAAGAAUAUUGAAUCACAGAAAAAUACUACCAACACAAUAAAUAAAAUUGAAUCAACUUAACCUAAACAUAUAUAACAGUAAGCAAAUCAACAACCAUUGAGGAUAAAGAGCUAAACAAACAUAAGUAUUAAUCAAUAUUUAAAAUAAAACUAAACCCUUAUAAUCUAAACUUAUAUGAAACCAACAAAGAAAAUAAUAUAAGACAAAAGCAAUAAUAAAAGUAACAAAACAUCAAAAUAAUAACUAAAUAAUAAUUGACAUAUCAAUAUAGCUUACGGUAAAUAAAGGACAAUCAAAAUACGGACAAAGUUAAAACGGCUAUAAAUGAAUGAAACAGAUAAUAAAAUAAAACUGAAUUUAAACACUCAAAUGCCACAAAGCAAUAAGCAAAACUAAUCAACUUAAUUGAAAAAUAAAUAUAGACAAUAGAUUAGAAAGGAUAAAACCACCAAACGCGAUAAUUAGAUCUGAAAAUUUACCAGUGAGCUUGAGCUAGCCUCUGAGGUUGUUGGUGGUCUGGUGGUUUUUUGGUGGCGUGGAGAAGGUGGUGGUUUGCUACUGAUUUGGUGGAGAAACAGUGAAAGAAAUGAGAGCUGUUUGGCCGGAAAAAAGGUGAUAAACGAAGGUGGGUUUUGGAUCGGGUUUGGCUGAUUUUUGGUUGUGUUGUUGGUCGAUUUUGUUGGCUGUUUCAGCUACUGUUUGAUGGCUGUUUCAGCUGCAAUUUCGUCGCAGCGAAAAGGGAAGAGGAGGAAGAACGGCUAGGGUGUUUUGGUGGUGUGAGGUGCUGCUGUUUGUGAUGGUUCCGAUGGCAUAUUGGUGGUGUUGGGCUGGUGGGUUGCCGAAAAAGGAAGGAGUAAUGGGUGUGUGUUUGUUCACUGGUUUUGGUUGUUGUUGCACCAAUGGUGGAGAUGGGGUNNNN
Molecule: long non-coding RNA, 1175 nt
Filed under: Solanum tuberosum (potato)
Lineage: Eukaryota; Viridiplantae; Streptophyta; Magnoliopsida; Solanales; Solanaceae
Description: long non-coding RNA (STUB_LNC000815)
Source: RNAcentral